GUUAUCAAGAAAGGUGGAGGGAUUAGACCCUGUGAAGCCUUAGCAACCCUUUAGAAAUGAAGAAGGUGCUAAAUUCUACCCAAGUUUAAAAAACAAUGGAUAGAUAA
This 107-nucleotide non-coding RNA is filed under the name uncultured Polaribacter sp. RNAcentral's name for it is "SAM riboswitch (S box leader)". It matches the Rfam family "SAM riboswitch aptamer (S box leader)". Rfam says of the family: The SAM riboswitch is found upstream of a number of genes which code for proteins involved in methionine or cysteine biosynthesis in Gram-positive bacteria. The SAM riboswitch acts at the level of transcription termination control. Lineage: Bacteria; Pseudomonadati; Bacteroidota; Flavobacteriia; Flavobacteriales; Flavobacteriaceae. The record is from RNAcentral.